AAUUUUAUGUAUUUAGUUCUAAGAAUAUGAAUGGUAUCUUUUUGGAAGUUAUAAGAAAUAGAAUUUCUGUAGACUACGAUAGGAUCAGAAAUGUUGUUAAACAUAUUUCUAAUAAUUUUGUUUGAAAGUUGACCUUCUUUAAAUUCACAGCCUUCAGUUAACAGUGGAGGUAAAUACAAGGUCAUGGGGUUCGACGUCCACGAACAUCUUGAACACAAUAAACAAACGUGAAAUAAAGAAAAUAUAAGUACACCAGCUAUUCGAAAGACAAUAUUUAAGGUACGUUUGUUGUCAUGCUGGAUUCAUCGGAGCAGGUCAGUUGGCUCACGCGCUGGUGAAGGGCUUCUUCACAGCAGCAGGUGUGAUCGCCACACACAGGAUAACAGCGAGCUCUCCAGACACAGACCUGCCAACUGUCAUUGGGCUAAGAAAAAUGGGAGCAUACUUCACCACCAGUAAUAAAGAGACUGUGAACAAGAGUGAUGUUCUGUUCCUU
This is a long non-coding RNA of Cyprinus carpio (common carp), 496 nucleotides long. RefSeq lists it as uncharacterized. NCBI's taxonomy places the organism in Eukaryota, Metazoa, Chordata, Actinopteri, Cypriniformes, Cyprinidae. The record is from RefSeq and is a predicted model, not a curated record. The transcript has 3 exons.